AUUGAACGCUGGCGGCAGGCCUAACACAUGCAAGUCGAGCGGAUGAAGGGAGCUUGCUCCUGGAUUCAGCGGCGGACGGGUGAGUAAUGCCUAGGAAUCUGCCUGGUAGUGGGGGAUAACGUCCGGAAUCGGGCGCUAAUACCGCAUACGUCCUGAGGGAGAAAGUGGGGGAUCUUCGGACCUCACGCUAUCAGAUGAGCCUAGGUCGGAUUAGCUAGUUGGUGGGGUAAAGGCCUACCAAGGCGACGAUCCGUAACUGGUCUGAGAGGAUGAUCAGUCACACUGGAACUGAGACACGGUCCAGACUCCUACGGGAGGCAGCAGUGGGGAAUAUUGGACAAUGGGCGAAAGCCUGAUCCAGCCAUGCCGCGUGUGUGAAGAAGGUCUUCGGAUUGUAAAGCACUUUAAGUUGGGAGGAAGGGCAGUAAGUUAAUACCUUGCUGUUUUGACGUUAUCAACAGAAUAAGCACCGGCUAACUUCGUG
Molecule: ribosomal RNA, 484 nt
Filed under: uncultured bacterium
Lineage: Bacteria
Description: partial 16S ribosomal RNA
Rfam family: Bacterial small subunit ribosomal RNA
Source: RNAcentral